UGCCCAGGCGCGAAAACUUUACAAUGCCGGCAACGGCGAUAAGGGAACCUCGAGUGCCAGGUUACAAAUCUGGCUGUCGUGAUGCCUAAAAAGCAUUGCAUAGCAAGGGCCGGGCAAGACCGGUGCCAGCCGCCGCGGUAACACCGGCGGCUCGAGUGGUAACCGUUAUUAUUGGGUCUAAAGGGUCUGUAGCCGGCCGGGUAAGUCUCUUGGGAAAUCUGGCAGCUUAACUGUCAGGCUUUCAGGAGAUACUGCCUGGCUCGAGGCCGGGAGAGGUGAUAGGUACUUCAGGGGUAGGGGUGAAAUCUUGUAAUCCUUGAAGGACCACCAGUGGCGAAGGCGUCUCACCAGAACGGACCUGACGGCAAGGGACGAAAGCUAGGGGCACGAACCGGAUUAGAUACCCGGGUAGUCCUAGCCGUAAACGAUACUCGCUAGGUGUCGGCCACGGUGCGACCGUGGUCGGUGCCGUAGGGAAGCCGUGAAGCGAGCCACCUGGGAAGUACGGCCGCAAGGCUGAAACUUAAAGGAAUUGGCGGGGGAGCAC
RNAcentral lists this ribosomal RNA (547 nucleotides) under uncultured archaeon. RNAcentral's name for it is "bacterial SSU rRNA". It matches the Rfam family "Archaeal small subunit ribosomal RNA", at positions 331 to 879 of the family's 1478-position model. The record is from RNAcentral.